GAAUUCGCCCUUAGAGUUUGAUCCUGGCUCAGGAUGAACGCUGGCGGCGUGCUUAACACAUGCAAGUCGAACGGGGCACCCCCAAAGGAGUUUUCGGACAACUGCGGGGAAUGCCUAGUGGCGGACGGGUGAGUAACGCGUGAGCAACCUGCCUUGGAGUGGGGAAUAACAGAUGGAAACAUCUGCUAAUACCGCAUGAUGCAGUUGGGCCACAUGGCUCUGACUGCCAAAGAUUUAUCGCUCUGAGAUGGGCUCGCGUCUGAUUAGCUAGUUGGCGGGGCAACGGCCCACCAAGGCGACGAUCAGUAGCCGGACUGAGAGGUUGGCCGGCCACAUUGGGACUGAGACACGGCCCAGACUCCUACGGGAGGCAGCAGUGGGGAAUAUUGGGCAAUGGGCGCAAGCCUGACCCAGCAACGCCGCGUGAAGGAAGAAGGCUUUCGGGUUGUAAACUUCUUUUCUCAGGGACGAACAGAUGACGGUACCUGAGGAAUAAGCCACGGCUAACUACGUGCCAGCAGCCGCGGUAAUACGUAGGUGGCAAGCGUUAUCCGGAUUUACUGGGUGUAAAGGGCGUGUAGGCGGGGACGCAAGUCAGAUGUGAAAACCACGGGCUCAACCUGUGGCCUGCAUUUGAAACUGUGUUUCUUGAGUACUGGAGAGGCAGACGGAAUUCCUAGUGUAGCGGUGAAAUGCGUAGAUAUUAGGAGGAACACCAGUGGCGAAGGCGGUCUGCUGGACAGCAACUGACGCUGAGGCGCGAAAGCGUGGGGAGCAAACAGGAUUAGAUACCCUGGUAGUCCACGCUGUAAACGAUGGAUACUAGGUGUGGGGGGACUGACCCCCUCCGUGCCGCAGUUAACACAAUAAGUAUCCCACCUGGGGAGUACGAUCGCAAGGUUGAAACUCAAAGGAAUUGACGGGGGCCCGCACAAGCGGUGGAGUAUGUGGUUUAAUUCGAAGCAACGCGAAGAACCUUACCAGGGCUUGACAUCCCGAGGCCCGGUGUAGAGAUACACCUUUCUCUUCGGAGACCUCGGUGACAGGUGGUGCAUGGUUGUCGCCAGCUCGUGUCGUGAGAUGUUGGGUUAAGUCCCGCAACGAGCGCAACCCUUAUCUUUAGUAGCCAGCAUUUGAGGUGGGCACUCUAGAGAGACUGCCAGGGACAACCUGGAGGAAGGUGGGGAUGACGUCAAAUCAUCAUGCCCCUUAUGAUCAGGGCUACACACGUGCUACAAUGGCGUAAACAAAGGGAAGCAAGCAUGUGAAUGUGAGCAAAUCCCAAAAAUAACGUCUCAGUUCGGAUUGUAGUCUGCAACUCGACUACAUGAAGCUGGAAUCGCUAGUAAUCGCGAAUCAGAAUGUCGCGGUGAAUACGUUCCCGGGUCUUGUACACACCGCCCGUCA
This 1407-nucleotide ribosomal RNA is filed under the name uncultured bacterium. RNAcentral describes it as "bacterial SSU rRNA". It matches the Rfam family "Bacterial small subunit ribosomal RNA". The record is from RNAcentral.